UCGGGAAUUUUGGGCAAUGGGCGAAAGCCUGACCCAGCAACGCCGCGUGAAGGAUGAAGUAUUUCGGUAUGUAAACUUCGAAAGAAUGGGAAGAAUCAAUGACGGUACCAUUUAUAAGGUCCGGCUAACUACGUGCCAGCAGCCGCGGUAAUACGUAGGGACCAAGCGUUGUUCGGAUUUACUGGGCGUAAAGGGCGCGUAGGCGGCUUUGUAAGUCACUUGUGAAAUCUCCGGGCUUAACUCGGAACGGCCAAGUGAUACUGCAAAGCUGGAGUGCAGAAGGGGCAAUCGGAAUUCUUGGUGUAGCGGUGAAAUGCGUAGAUAUCAAGAGGAACACCUGAGGUGAAGACGGGUUGCUGGGCUGACACUGACGCUGAGGCGCGAAAGCGUGGGGAGCAAACCGGAUUAGAUACCCCAGUAGUCCCUGAGCGGGCUGGCAAGGCGCAU
RNAcentral lists this ribosomal RNA (447 nucleotides) under uncultured bacterium. Its description in RNAcentral is "bacterial SSU rRNA". It matches the Rfam family "Bacterial small subunit ribosomal RNA", at positions 355 to 825 of the family's 1533-position model. The record is from RNAcentral.